GCAGUCGAGCGAUGAAGUUUCUUCGGAAAUGGAUUAGCGGCGAACGGGUGAGGAACACGUGAAGAAUCUGCCCUCCACUUUGGGAUAACACCGGGAAACCGGUGCUAAUACCGAAUAUUGAAACAUAAGUGGCAUCACUGAGUUUUGAAAGAAUUUCGGUGGAGGAUGACUUCGCGGCCUAUCAGCUAGUUGGUGAGGUAAUGGCUCACCAAGGCAACGACGGGUAGCCGGCCUGAGAGGGCGACCGGCCACACUGGGACUGAGACACGGCCCAGACUCCUACGGGAGGCAGCAGUGGGGAAUAUUGGGCAAUGGAGGAAACUCUGACCCAGCGACGCCGCGUGCGGGAUGAAGGCCUUCGGGUUGUAAACCGCUUUCAGUAGGGAAGAAGCGAAAGUGACGGUACCUACAAAAGAAGCACCGGCUAACUAUGUGCCAGCAGCCGCGGUAAUACAUAGGGUGCAAGCGUUGUCCGGAAUUAUUGGGCGUAAAGAGCUCGUAGGUCGUUUGUUACGUCGGAUGUGAAAACCUGAGGCUCAACCUCAGGCCUGCAUUCGAUACGGGCAAACUAGAGUUUGGUAGGGGAGACUGGAAUUCCUGGUGUAGCGGUGGAAUGCGCAGAUAUCAGGAGGAACACCAAUGGCGAAGGCAGGUCUCUGGGCCAAUACUGACACU
This 675-nucleotide ribosomal RNA is filed under the name uncultured Actinomycetes bacterium. RNAcentral's name for it is "bacterial SSU rRNA". It matches the Rfam family "Bacterial small subunit ribosomal RNA", at positions 57 to 747 of the family's 1533-position model. Lineage: Bacteria; Bacillati; Actinomycetota; Actinomycetes. The record is from RNAcentral.